UGAAAUGAUCUAAACAGAGUUUGUAACGAGUGAUGACUCUACCGCACUCCGCAGCCUUCAAAUAGAAACAGAAAAUCUCCCCUCUUCACUACUCCAAGGUUUGGCUUCAAUCUUGAGCUAUAAUAUUCCACUUAAACAAAGUUAAAUAACACUAUUUUUAUAAAAAGACAAAUCUAUCACUUUUAGUAGAUAAUCUUGCUUACAUUAAAUAAAUCUAUCACUUUUAGGAGAUAUGUAUUUUUUUUUCUAAAGAUUUAAUACAAUUAUACAUCUAACACUUGAAUUAAAACUGUUUGUUAAUCUGAAUUCCAUACACUAGUUAAUUUAGACACUCAAUAGUUAAAUAAUUAGUUUUGUUAAUCAAAGGACAAUGUUAUUUGAUUAAUUUUAUAUGAAAUAUAGUGAAAACUCUUGUUUUAGGUAUUAAAUACAUAUCAUCGAUAAUAAACAAUUCUUAGGAAAAUUUACAAAUUACUAUUUGUACAUAACCAAUGUUGUUUUGUUGGUCAAUAAGUCCAAAACCAACGGACAACAAUAAAUAAUUUAGUUGAUUUGAUUCAACGUCCGGUACCAAAACUGUCCAAAAAAAGUAAUGAUAAUUAAAUAGAAGUACAACAACGAUGAAAUAAAAAAAUUGGUAAAGAGACAACUAAUAAUAUUGAGGGAGGGAAUUAAGCGUAAGAACAUAUAUUCCCGUGGUUAUAAACUAGUAAUAAACAAUUCACUAACAAAUCAACACGUUUACUCGUGAGUAAACUAAACUAGUCUUAUUUUCCUUUUUAACAUUUGCGAUAUUAGAAUGUCUCUGCUAACUUAAUUAACACAUCAUCCUAAGAAAGACAAGUAAUGACCUCAUUAGUAUUUUAUUUUAUUUUUUCCUAAAAAUAUAAUAAAGCAUAUAGUAUAUUUUUAAGACAAGACUUGACCGACACGUCCAAGCUUGUGAGCCGCAGCUCGGCUUGGGGAACCAAAGCCAGCCGAAUGGGUUUGAGCCGCCGGGAAUUGUGGCCCAGUGAUCCAUGACAGGCUUGCGCGUGAACAAAGCAAGUGCCACCCCAUCAUGAUUUUGAUUUCAUCAGCAAAUCAGGGCCGUUUAAUUCCAGCCAAGCGAAUCAGGGACGUCAGAUGAGGGUGCGAACGGUUGCGUUGAGUUACCGCCACCCCAAUACAGCCCACAGCCAAUGUCACUCGCGACACGUGGCACGACCCCAUGAGUGGCAUACGCACUAACAAGUGCUCGACUGACUCAUAGGCUAGAAUAGUAAAUUUCCAAAACUGUCAAGAGAAAUUGGUUUUUUAAAUAUGAAAGAUAAAAAAUUUAAAUUUAAUCUUUAAAAAUUUUUAUAAAUAAUUUAAUGAUAAAUUAAUUAUUAAAUUUUGUAAUUCAAUAAAAAAAAUAUUUAAAAAUAUUUUUUAUUGUCAAUUAGUAUUAAAAUAUUAUAAUUUAAAAAUAAAAUAAUUUUAUAAAUUUAAUAAAAAAAAUAAUUCAUUACAUAUUUUACAUAUUCAGAAAACUAAAUUGAUGAUUUAUAUGAAAUCAUUUUAUCAGCAUCACACUUUUGAUUUUGAAAACUAAUAUGACUGUUUAUCUCUAUAAUACCAGGAAAUGCUAAAGCAACACGCGGGUGAGAUUGGAAGCAGCUGGGUCCCACGGGUUUGUCUUAUAAUUGGCUGUUUGGAGUCUUCAGAGUUGACUGGUGUGGCUGUGAUGUGGAAAUGGUGACUGUAAGGGAGCAUGUGGGUCCAAACACUGUAACGAAUUAUUUGACGGCCGUGAUUUGGUGUGGUUGAUGGAUUAGAAUUCAAGAGAGGCACCGUCCUCGUGCGCAUAGAUGAAUCAUUAGGUGGCUCCCAUUUACGAUCUCAAUGACAUGUGUGCGGUUAUUAUUGCACCUCUUCUAUUUUCUCAUUUUAAUGAAAUUAGAUCAUCAAACCUUGAUGAAAUUAAAUAACUUUACUGCAUCCUUA
RNAcentral lists this long non-coding RNA (1968 nucleotides) under Glycine max (soybean). RNAcentral describes it as "long non-coding RNA (GMAX_LNC003318)". Lineage: Eukaryota; Viridiplantae; Streptophyta; Magnoliopsida; Fabales; Fabaceae. The record is from RNAcentral.